AGUGAACGCUGGCGGUAGGCCUAACACAUGCAAGUCGAACGGCAGCACAGUAAGAGCUUGCUCUUACGGGUGGCGAGUGGCGGACGGGUGAGGAAUACAUCGGUAUCUACUUUUUCGUGGGGGAUAACGUAGGGAAACUUACGCUAAUACCGCAUACGACCUACGGGUGAAAGCAGGGGAUCUUCGGACCUUGCGCGAUUGAAUGAGCCGAUGUCGGAUUAGCUAGUUGGCGGGGUAAAGGCCCACCAAGGCGACGAUCCGUAGCUGGUCUGAGAGGAUGAUCAGCCACACUGGAACUGAGACACGGUCCAGACUCCUACGGGAGGCAGCAGUGGGGAAUAUUGGACAAAGGGCGCAAGCCUGAUCCAGCCAUACCGCGUGGGUGAAGAAGGCCUUCGGGUUGUAAAGCCCUUUUGUUGGGAAAGAAAAGCAGCAGGUUAAUACCCCGCUGUUCUGACGGUACCCAAAGAAUAAGCACCGGCUAACUUCGUG
This 492-nucleotide ribosomal RNA is filed under the name uncultured bacterium. RNAcentral describes it as "partial 16S ribosomal RNA". It matches the Rfam family "Bacterial small subunit ribosomal RNA", at positions 29 to 507 of the family's 1533-position model. The record is from RNAcentral.